AAGAGUUCGGAAUUUCUCCAGCUGUAAAUUCAUAUGACAUAACUUUACUACUUGCAAAGGCAAUUGGUGUUAAUGUCAUUGAAAAAAGAUCAUACCCUCUACUGUGACUGGAUGGUUCAGGAAUGCAGAAGAUCCUGGAUAACAUUUUCAGUUUGUAGUGCAGUGCAGAUGGAAAAAUAAUAAACAGGGAUCUAGAAAUAUUAGAAAAUAUCAAAAGGAGAUUCAGCUUGGAAAUCUGUAAACUAAUAUAUUUAUGCAAAACUUAUCUGAAACUCAGAUAUCCAAUGAGAGGAAGAAAUAUGGAAAACAGUAGUGCUAAGUGACCUGGGCAUGGAAGUUAUCAAAUUAAUAAUGAGUUAUGUUGUUUGGCAAGGGGUAGGCUUGUUGUACCUACAAAACUGCCACUACCACCACAAUAAAGACCUUGGCAUCUCAGGAGAGAUGCCAAGGUUUAAGUGGGCUCGGAGGAGACUAAACAAUCCUCUCACCCUCCAAGGUGAAGCACAUUGGUGGGGCAGUGAGGGAGACUUGCACUGCUGCUUCCUGUGCUAUACCUGUUUUGUAGAUAAAGAACCUCAGUCUCCAGGUCUGACAAUAGGGCAUUUUUCACACACACUAGAAAUUCACACAAAAGAACAAAAACAUCUAGUCAAUAAAAUCAACAAGAGAUUUACAUGAAGCGAGAUUCCGAUGGAGGUGUUAAAGUUAGGAAGAAAAGAGUUAGAGACCUAAAAUAUAAAAUGUUUGGAAACAAUGAAUGUGCAGAUAUGACUGCUCUCUUGGAAGAUGGUUGGAAUGGGAGGAAGUCUGCUCUUGUGGCUAACACAAAGGAGUGAAAAGUCAAGAGAUCUGGAUUUUAUUCCUGGCUCUGCCACAGACAUCCUAUGUAAUCUUGGGCAAGUCACUUAAUCUCUCUGUCUCAGUUUCCCUAUCUAUAAAAUGAGUGAUGCUUGUACAACAGUUUUAAAAUACAUAAAAAAGUGAGUACCAAAUAUUUUUCUUGCUAUAUCAAAGAUCAUUUAAGCAACAAUUUUAAACAAGAUUGUUUGGAAUGAGUGGGCACUGAAGAUGGCAAAUCUGGGCUUGGAGUGAGAUAUUACAUUAUGAAUAAUGAUUUAUUAUUCAUUCUAUAAUACUAAGCAUGCAAAUAUCACUGGAAAUUCAAAAAAAAUAAAUCCCAUCUUAUAAAAAUCUGUGCUUUAAAAUGUCUACAGAUAGGUUCAGUCUCAAAUCUCCCCUGCAGUCUCAUGUGGCGUCUACUUCCCAUUAUAUCAAUUACUAUUUGGGAAGGUGUUAUGUGAACAUUUCUUUUACAUUUGGUCAGAGAAAUAUCAAAGGCUAAAUCGUGCUGAGUUACACCAGUGUUUGUUAAAAGAGAAUUUGGCCUAAGGGCCAGAUUUGUAAGGGUAUCUAAUGAUGGAGAUAGGUAUAUAGUAAGAUUUUCAAAAGUACCUUGGUGCCUAAUUUCCAUUGAAAUCAAUGUUGGGCACCUAGGUACAUCUGAAAAGCCCACUAGACACCCAUCUGCAUAUUUAGGUACCUAAAUACCUUUGAAAAUCUGAACUUAAGUUUUUAAGUCAUUUUCCUGGCAAAUAGAGUGAAAUAGAUAGGAGAAUGUUAAUUUGACAGAUAGCAAAGAAAUUACAGGCAGAUCCUUGCAUUCAACUAAGACGUGGUUGCAUGGGUAUAAAUGAGGGCAGAAUUUGGUCCAUUAUAUCUUUGUGGAGGGAUAACAAACAAUAUGUUAAAAGUACAGGAGUACUUGUGGCACCUUAGAGACUAACAAAUUUAUUUCAGCAUAAGCUUUCGGGGGCUACAGCUUACUUCUUCAAAUGCACAGAAUGGAACACAGAGAUAUUUAUACAUACAUAAAUAUAUAAAUAUCUUCUGUCUGUGUGUUCCCUUCUAUGCAUCCGAAGAAGUGAGCUGUAGCCCACGAAAGCUGAUGCUGAAAUAAAUUUGUUAGUCUCUAAGGUGCCACAAGUACUCCUGUUCUUUUUGCGGAUACAGACUCACAUGGCUGCUACUCUGAAACAAUAUGUUGGCUUUUUACUUUAUCCACAAAAUCCAUCAUUCAGUACUUCAAGACUAGACAUCGCAGGCUAUUUGCCAUUUCUUAAAUUAGUCUCAUUGUACAAAGAAAACAGUCACUGCCCACAGAUCCCAUUCUGAACGCUAAAAAAAAUGAAGCCAAGAGUAUCAAAAUUUGGGGACAAGCUGACUGCAAGUUUACCUGUUUCUCAGAAAUCCUGAUGGGCUCUUUCAGCACUAUCCAUGUUACACUCUCAUAUAGAGGAGGUGUUGUUAGAGAACCAGGAUAUGUCCAAUAAUUUAGACUAGAUGGCAGGAGGCAUUUUGGGUUGAAGGUUCUGAACUGAGCUUUUGUCCCCUGGAAGGAACAGAUACAUUAUAUUUCUUUUUUUAAAAAAAUGUGUUUAAGGAGAUAGAUAUUUAUUGAGAAACAGAAACACCAGCUGAUAGCUUAAAAUUGCAAGAAUAAUGGGAUGAUCAUUUGGCUCUGUCUAAGCACAACAACAUCAUGAGAAUAGUGCUUAUUUAGUAUUGUGGUGAUAUCACAUGAGCUGUGGUGAUCCCAGACCCAAUUGUUGGCUUAGGGAUGUAUGUCCCUGCUGCCUGUGUUAGCACUGAGCUAGUAAAACAAAAGGUCCCCUUGCAAUUAGUGCCCCUUCCCCAUCAAGAAAUUAGGCAGAAAAUCUCUCCUCUGUAUAGUGCCCAGCACGAGCUGCCAAUGGUGCACACUUCAUCACCAGCAUUUGCUUCUACUGAAUUGUGGCAUUCCAGUGCUAAUUACCUGCCACUUUUUGUGCCUGGAGCAACAAGGCAAUCCAGGCAAAGAUUGCCUCUGCAAUCAAACACCCAAAUCUAGAACAAAGAGCAGGUUUAUCCUGAAGCUGUAGGUGUAAUUUCCAGCUCAGGUAAGGAUGUGGCAGAGGGAUGUUGAGUCUUCAUGGUUACAGUGGUCCAGAACAGGACUCCUGGAUCCAGGCAUUGUAACUGAGAAGCAGAUCAGGAGGAGAGGGCACCUGCUCACUCACACUCCAGAGCCACACAACCAAAAAACGCCAACGUGUCUGCAAAAUUCUGCUCAGCCCAGAACCCAGCAGGAGUGAGGACAAGGGCAUCUCAUCCUGAAGAGCAGUCCUGCCAUUUUUAAAAGGAAUUACAAGAAAUGUCUGAAGGGGCAACGCUUCCUUUCAAAGCAGGGAAGCAAGUUAUGGCCAAGCACAUAUCCACAACAUCAGAAUUCAAUAGUCCCUUCUCAAAACACACAGAGGCAGGAACAACAUGUUCAUUCAUUAUGAACUCCUUGUUAGCAUAAGGGGAUUAUAUUGAAGUUUUGUGCAUUAGAUCCUACAAUUCUAGGAUACAAGGCAACCAUGAGUGGUAAGAGACAAUACAUUAGAAUGAAGUGUGUUCAAACUAUCACUUUUAUAUGCCCUUGCAUUACAUUAUGUACUAAUGAUGGAUGAAUUUCGAGGCGGGGGAGAGAUGGAAUUUGCUGCUUUAAUUUGUUUUUAUUUCACUCAAGCUCGUGCACAAGUUUAUACUAUUUAAAAGUCAUCCAAGUGAGGGGAAGAAAAACAGAUACAAGAGCAAACAAAAAACUUACUUUAAAUUUUACCAUAUACAAGGCAUCAGUUAGUCUGUUCAUAUUGGCAUGUUCUUCUCCAGUCUACAAGUGUAAUGGAUACAGUUGCAUGAGAAUAUAGAUAAGAUAUAGUUAAUAAUUAUGCUUUGAAUAUAUAAACAGGCCAUUUUUUCUGUCUUAGGCAUGUUCGCACUGAAGUAGGUUUAACUGCAGUCUGCCUUGAGUCACUGCUACCAAUAAAGUCAUUUAUUUUCCCCAAA
Long non-coding RNA from Gopherus flavomarginatus (Mexican gopher tortoise), 3870 nucleotides. RefSeq lists it as uncharacterized. NCBI's taxonomy places the organism in Eukaryota, Metazoa, Chordata, Testudines, Testudinidae. The record is from RefSeq and is a predicted model, not a curated record. The transcript is spliced from 2 exons.